This 247-nucleotide unclassified non-coding RNA is filed under the name Hevea brasiliensis (rubber tree). The record is from RNAcentral. Lineage: Eukaryota; Viridiplantae; Streptophyta; Magnoliopsida; Malpighiales; Euphorbiaceae.
AGAGUACCACUAAUAUAAUGAUCUCUGGAAUGAUGUCCUAAAUGGGAUUGUAGUGUGAUAGGAAAUGGUGGCUUAGGUGUCCCCUUAGGGAGAGUACAAUUUUCGUUAUAAGGAUCAUAAGAGAUCGGAUCAUGAUGGAUACAGAGCUUUGGAGUAGUAAGGGGAAAAAAAAAGACCCUAUAGAUUACCUCCUUGAGGUAUUAGAGGGUAGUUUAGAGUUAAACAGAGGAAAGGACAAUGACUGCAA